CCUACGGGCGGCAGCAGUGGGGAAUAUUGGACAAUGGGCGAAAGCCUGAUCCAGCCAUGCCGCGUGUGUGAAGAAGGCCUUCGGGUUGUAAAGCACUUUCAGUGGGGAAGAAAGCCUUGGGGCUAAUACCCUCGAGGAAGGACAUCACCCACAGAAGAAGCACCGGCUAACUCCGUGCCAGCAGCCGCGGUAAUACGGAGGGUGCGAGCGUUAAUCGGAAUUACUGGGCGUAAAGCGCGCGUAGGCGGUCUGAUAAGCCGGUUGUGAAAGCCCCGGGCUCAACCUGGGAACGGCAUCCGGAACUGUCAGGCUAGAGUGCAGGUGAGGAAGGUAGAAUUCGCGGUGUAGCGGUGAAAUGCGUAGAGAUCGGGAGGAAUACCAGUGGCGAAGGCAGCCUUCUAGGCUGACACUGACGCUGAGGUGCGAAAGCGUGGGUAGCAAACAGGAUUAGAUACCCCAGUAGUC
Molecule: ribosomal RNA, 465 nt
Filed under: Vreelandella stevensii
Lineage: Bacteria; Pseudomonadati; Pseudomonadota; Gammaproteobacteria; Oceanospirillales; Halomonadaceae
Description: partial 16S ribosomal RNA
Rfam family: Bacterial small subunit ribosomal RNA
Source: RNAcentral